This 253-nucleotide unclassified non-coding RNA is filed under the name uncultured Alphaproteobacteria bacterium. RNAcentral describes it as "contains 16S-23S intergenic spacer region". It matches the Rfam family "Bacterial small subunit ribosomal RNA", at positions 524 to 776 of the family's 1533-position model. The record is from RNAcentral. Lineage: Bacteria; Pseudomonadati; Pseudomonadota; Alphaproteobacteria.
UACGAAGGGGGCAAGCGUUGUUCGGAAUCACUGGGCGUAAAGCGUGCGCAGGCGGAUCAGCCAGUCAGAGGUGAAAUCCCAGGGCUCAACCCUGGAACUGCCUUUGAUACUGUUGAUCUAGAGUCCGAGAGAGGGUGGCGGAAUUCCCAGUGUAGAGGUGAAAUUCGUAGAUAUUGGGAGGAACACCAGUGGCGUAGGCGGCCACCUGGCUCGGUACUGACGCUCAGGCACGAAAGCGUGGGGAGCAAACAGG